Zea mays is the source of this 1318-nucleotide long non-coding RNA. RefSeq lists it as uncharacterized. NCBI's taxonomy places the organism in Eukaryota, Viridiplantae, Streptophyta, Magnoliopsida, Poales, Poaceae. The transcript has 4 exons. The record is from RefSeq and is a predicted model, not a curated record.
UACAUCAUACAUGGUAUUUCUAUCUUUUCCCACUAGAUUAUAAUGACUGCCCAAAACUAUUUUUCUGUGAAUUUUUCCUCAGCUUCAUGAAGCGCAAAGAAUUAGCUUCAGAGGCACAUGGUGAGCUAUACUUGUUUGUGCUUUAUACCUUGCCUAUUUGUUAGAUACAUGCUACUAACAUGAGAUUAAAAACUGAUUUAUUUAGCUCGAUUCUUAUUUGUCUAAACUCAUCUAUCAUCAAUUUCUAUUUAGUUUUAACCUAGGUGCUAGACUGGACACCCAGAGACAAUGAAGCAGAAACUAGAGUAUCAAGACAGUAACUAGAAGUUCUCGAUGGUACUGUAUUGAGACGACAAACAUCCAUAUACUGAAAUAAACAACUAACCAUAAGAAAUUAGUCAUAAAGCACACUGUUUGGCAUGUCUUACUAUUAAUCAAUACUCAAUAAGUAACCGUACAGUACUUUUAAUAUUUGAGCAACUCUCCAACUACACUUGACAAGGCUGCACACACAAAGACACCCUAAAACAGCGGAUGGUUUCUUUAGUGAUUGUGAGACAGGUUUUUGUGCAGUUUUUGCUUUGAGAAGAACUACUCUUGAAAAUUUAAGGCCCAUCUUUGAAGUUGUUGCAUAUGUGCUAUUUUUUAAAAAAAACCGUUCCUUGCUGAAUUAAUAAUGAGAUCUGUAGGUUUUUGUGCGCUUCAUGAAUCAAUAUUUCUUAUUGAUAGCUUGUCUGCAGCUAUGGUCACUUAUCACUCCUGUAAAUCCUGCAAAUACCUGGGGUCCACUUAUAUUUAUCUUUGCUGUUUCUGCAACCAAAGAGGCAUGGGAUGACUACAACAGGUAUAUUUCAGAUAAACAAGUGAAUGCUAAGGAAGUGUGGAUUGUUAAGAAUGGUACCCGGAAACACAUUCAAGCUCAAGAUAUCCGUGUCGGUAACAUAGUUUGGAUUCGAGAGAAUGAAGAAGUACCAUGUGAUCUUGUUUUGUUGGGAACUUCUGAACCACAAGGCAUCUGUCAUGUUGAGGCUCUUUUCUUAUUGUUAGAGCAGUUGUUGCAUUCGUCUUGAUAAAGAGAGAUCAAUGAAAAGAUGCACUGCGAGAACACUAGCCAUCCAGUUCAUUCCCUUCGAAUGAAGUUAAAGAUUUCUAAUUUCUCAGAUAGAGGGAUAUCCUGAUAUAUGCUACGAAAAGGGGUGGGGGUUGGCUGCUCCGAGUCUUCGACCUUCAAUUAUUUGCUGUAAUAAAAUCAACACGUGUGUUUGAUGUAAAGUUUCCAUCUGAAAAGGAAGAGAUGGCCAGCAAGUAUUGUUCCACA